RNA transcript from Ailuropoda melanoleuca (giant panda), 847 nucleotides. It is a transcript of the gene named H2B.N variant histone 1, with no coding region annotated. NCBI's taxonomy places the organism in Eukaryota, Metazoa, Chordata, Mammalia, Carnivora, Ursidae. The transcript is spliced from 3 exons. The record is from RefSeq and is a predicted model, not a curated record.
CGCACGGCCGCUCCGCCCUCACCUGAGCCGGAGGUUGGCCAUGAACUCGGGCAUGGAGACGGUGUCCAUCAGUACGAAGUCCGCCUUGCCGAACUCCAGGCUCUCUUGCUCCGCCAUGGCGCCGGCGUAUGGGCUCAGUCAAGACCAUCUUCUAGGAAAUCUAGAGGCUCCCAAGGACCUGGCUGGGCUCCAACUCUAUGGCUGAAUUUGAGAUGGUAAACCAGACGGAAGAACCCUGCUCAAGGCUGGCUUUGGCUGCCAACAACCCACACUAGCCAGGAGAUUGGGGAAGGCAGCUUGGUUACCUCCCAAGGGAGCACCUCCGCUAUAAGAAAGCCACCCCAAACCCUGGCACACGAAGAGCUGGGUUGUGGUCUACCAUUAGCAGCUCUCCUUCUUCAGAAGACACCUCUCUGGAUCUCAGUGUCCUCAUUUGUGGAAUAAGACCUCUAGGCUAGACGCUUUCCAAGACUCACCCAGACUUCAGUGGAUGCUCCUGGAUCUUGGAUGCAUUGGGUUCUCUGGAGGAUUGGCUGCUGGAAUGGGUUAGCCUGGAAGCGGUCAGACUGUCCUUCUACAACCACAGAAGAGCUGUCACCAGCAGAGAGAUCCUUGGAGCGGUUAAGCAAAGAUCCUUUAGGAAGAGCUUUUGUAUAAAUAAAGUGUUCUGAAUGGCUCUGUUGAAAUGGUUGUACUCGUCAAAAAUAAUCAGAGAGGUCAGAGGACUGAAUUGGAAGACAAGGUAUCUGAUAGAUACCUGUUGCAACAGGAGUCUUGGUGCUAUAUACCUGGUCUCUGGGUCCUGUGUUUUUAGCCUCUGACUUAAUUUGCAAAUAAAUAAGGAAAG